GUGUGUGUGUGUGUGUUAGAACCACAUGAAAGCUUAGAAUGUCAGUGGUGUUCUACCUCAGUGCUACUCGUGCACACUCUUGAGGAGGGAGCAUGAGGGAUGUCUCUUUGUACUGUUUUUAAAACACAAGGAAUAAUACUAAAUGCAAUAUUCAAAGAGGGGAUCCAGGUCUAAUUUGUGAAGCAAGGUUAAACUUCUGACCAAUGAAUGCUGCUUAAAUUAAACGGACCAUGAAUCUGGCUUCGGCUGCCAAUCCCAUAGUAAAGGCAGAGUUGAGGGAGAGAGGAGAGCAUGAGAGGAGAGCAUGGCCUCGUAGCAUGAAAACCAGAAGGACGCACCAACAGAGCAUCCAUGCAACGGCAGCUCCAUCACUUCCUGAUUCUAAUUCCAGAACUAUAGGAGAAUACACAACACUACGCUGUGGGUAGGCCACACAAUUGAAAAAGAAUUACCUUUCUGUGUUUGUGUGUGUCUGGGGAAAAAAAGAAGCUGUUUUUCUCUUCCAAAAGUUCAUCAUAAAUGAGAGGGCUGGUUGAAUAUGUCUAAUGGUGUUCGUGUAGCUGACUAUUCAUUGUCAAGAAAAGCUGAUUUUUCUCUUCACUGUUGCACAAGUGUCAGCUAGGCAGGAAGGGUGUGAGUGUCGAGUGGUUUCCUCAGUACUAUCUGUUGAUCAGAAACAGAAGUAGGCGAGAGGGGUGUGAAAGGCGUUUUCUCACUAGGUUUUUGUGGUAGACAAGAGAAGCCUACACCAAUCUUGAUGUGAAUGACAAAUGCCAAUGUACCAGGCAUUUUCGUGAGAGGGUGAACUGCUUCACAUUGCAAUUUUGAAGAGAAAAAAAAAUCAAAGAAAGAGAACACACGCCACUCGACCGACCAGCGCUGCAUCGCACACAACCGGAGAUAUGGUCAACAGCUCGACCGACAGUGGCUUGAAGGACCCACAUCUAACCACCAGACCAGGAUGUUUAGAUGUUCAUCCACGGCCUCCUCCCCUACCCUGCUCUGUCUAACCCUCUGGCCCCUGUGGAGCCUCCUGAUGUCUGCCUUCUGCCACCCUCACCACGGCCCCUGCAGACUGACCCAAAAGACUGCUCUCUGUAGCAACAGUGAGCUCUCAUCUGUACCUGGGGGCCUACCUGACAGCA
Oncorhynchus gorbuscha (pink salmon) is the source of this 1145-nucleotide long non-coding RNA. RefSeq lists it as uncharacterized. NCBI's taxonomy places the organism in Eukaryota, Metazoa, Chordata, Actinopteri, Salmoniformes, Salmonidae. The transcript is spliced from 4 exons. The record is from RefSeq and is a predicted model, not a curated record.